Molecule: ribosomal RNA, 497 nt
Filed under: uncultured bacterium
Lineage: Bacteria
Description: partial 16S ribosomal RNA
Rfam family: Bacterial small subunit ribosomal RNA
Source: RNAcentral
GAUGAACGCUGGCGGCGUGCUUAACACAUGCAAGUCGAACGGUGAAGCGCCUUCCUUUUUGGUGGGUGUGUAGGGGUGGCCAGCGGGUGAGUAACACGUUAGUAACCUGCUCUCUCCUUCUGGAUAACCGCAGGAAAGUGUGGCUAAUACCGGAUAUUCUGUGCCUGUCGCAUCAUGGGUCUGGGGGAGCUUUUGUUUCGGUGUGAGCUGGGCUCGUGGCGGCUUAGCUUGUUGGUGGGGUCAUGGCCUACCAAGGCGACGACGCGUAGCCGGCCUGAGAGGAGGAUCGGCGACACUAGAAGUGAGACACGGUCCAGACGCCUCCGGGAGGCGGCAGUAGGGAAUAUUGGACAAUGGGCGCAGGCCUGAUGCAGCAACGCCGCGUGGGUGAAGAAGGACUUCGGCUUGUAAAGCACUUUUGUUGGGAGAGAAGAAGGGCUGCCUAGUUUGUGGGUGUGUUGACGGUAGCUAAAGAAGAAGCACCGGCUAACUACGUG